This 349-nucleotide ribosomal RNA is filed under the name Psychrobacter arenosus. Its description in RNAcentral is "bacterial SSU rRNA". It matches the Rfam family "Bacterial small subunit ribosomal RNA", at positions 87 to 441 of the family's 1533-position model. Lineage: Bacteria; Pseudomonadati; Pseudomonadota; Gammaproteobacteria; Moraxellales; Moraxellaceae. The record is from RNAcentral.
GCUGACGAGCGGCGGACGGGUGAGUAAUACUUAGGAAUCUGCCCAGUAGUGGGGGAUAGCUCGGGGAAACUCGAAUUAAUACCGCAUACACCCUACGGGGAAAAGGGGGCUGCUUGCAGCUCUCGCUAUUGGAUGAGCCUAAGUCGGAUUAGCUAGUUGGUGGGGUAAAGGCCUACCAAGGCGACGAUCUGUAGCUGGUUUGAGAGGAUGAUCAGCCACACCGGAACUGAGACACGGUCCGGACUCCUACGGGAGGCAGCAGUGGGGAAUAUUGGACAAUGGGGGCAACCCUGAUCCAGCCAUGCCGCGUGUGUGAAGAAGGCCUUUUGGUUGUAAAGCACUUUAAGCA